AGUGAACGCUGGCGGUAGGCCUAACACAUGCAAGUCGAACGGCAGCACAGUAAGAGCUUGCUCUUACGGGUGGCGAGUGGCGGACGGGUGAGGAAUACAUCGGAAUCUACUUUUUCGUGGGGGAUAACGUAGGGAAACUUACGCUAAUACCGCAUACGACCUAUGGGUGAAAGCAGGGGAUCUUCGGACCUUGCGCGAUUGAAUGAGCCGAUGUCGGAUUAGCUAGUUGGCGGGGUAAAGGCCCACCAAGGCGACGAUCCGUAGCUGGUCUGAGAGGAUGAUCAGCCACACUGGAACUGAGACACGGUCCAGACUCCUACGGGAGGCAGCAGUGGGGAAUAUUGGACAAUGGGCGUAAGCCUGAUCCAGCCAUACCGCGUGGGUGAAGAAGGCCUUCGGGUUGUAAAGCCCUUUUGUUGGGAAAGAAAAGCAGCAGGUUAAUACCCCGCUGUUCUGACGGUACCCAAAGAAUAAGCACCGGCUAACUUCGUG
This 492-nucleotide ribosomal RNA is filed under the name uncultured bacterium. Its description in RNAcentral is "partial 16S ribosomal RNA". It matches the Rfam family "Bacterial small subunit ribosomal RNA", at positions 29 to 507 of the family's 1533-position model. The record is from RNAcentral.